AUGACUCAUGAGGACUUUCAAUGGGCAGCAAGUGCCCUGGUGACAUAGGGUCACAUCCUGUUACUCAAGAAGGCAGGUCCUGGGUAGAUCCCAGGGAGGUGAGUUGGUGGGGGAUAAAGAGCUCCUGUGUGGCCAGCAGCUGGCUGCAGUUCCCCAGGAAACAGCUUCCGGCAGACACUCAAUCUCCAGUUGUAACAGGUGGUGUGGAGUCCGCUGUCCCAGGGAGUGGGCUCAAGGCCUAGUCCUGCCAAUGAACUUGCUGUAGAAACUUUUCUGUCUAUCAAAUGAGAUGGUCUCCCUCUGUCACCUAGGUUGGAAUGCACUGGUGCAAUAAUUGCUCACUGCAGCCAUGACCUCCCAUGCUCAAGCAAUCCUCCCACCUCAGCCUCCCACGUAGCUGGGACUACAGGCAUCUUGGAGAGAGGUAUCACCUCAGAGCUGGAGAAAUGUCAAGCUAGUUGAAUAACAGGCACCAAAGGUUUUGAGGGGUGCAGAGCGAAGAGCCUUGGGCUGAGAGUUUGAGUCCUGACUGUUUCAGUGAGACCAGCAAGCGCUUUCUCUCUCCAGCUUCUCCAUUUCCACCUUUGCAAACUCUGGACUCCAAGGACGCAAGAUGGCCGGAAACAAGAUGGUGGAGCAUGAAGGCCCUUGCCAGAUGACAGCACUAUGCCCUUGGACUCCCCAGCCUCCAUAACCAUGGGCCAAAUAAACUUCUAUUGUUUUAAAUUG
RNAcentral lists this long non-coding RNA (729 nucleotides) under Homo sapiens (human). RNAcentral describes it as "HSALNT0401574". The record is from RNAcentral. Lineage: Eukaryota; Metazoa; Chordata; Mammalia; Primates; Hominidae.